This 862-nucleotide small RNA is filed under the name Pongo abelii (Sumatran orangutan). Its description in RNAcentral is "processed transcript". The record is from RNAcentral. Lineage: Eukaryota; Metazoa; Chordata; Mammalia; Primates; Hominidae.
GACCUGGUUUCCUGUGGAUCACAGUCCUGCCCUGAUUCCUUCUCCUAAGACAUUCUCACCCUGAUACGUCAACAUGGCCUGUGUCUGCUUCCUGAGUGAGGGUAACAGACCCCCUCAGCUUGCUUUGGGUGGAGAGUCAGUAACUCCUGUGGUGAGUGGCUCUGUCUCAUUUCUAGGUUACAGGCCUGGAUGGCAACUACAGAAUCACAUGCCACACAGUGAUGGAGGUGCUGCGAGAGCACAAGGACAGUGUCAUGGCCGUGCUGGAAGCCUUUGUCUAUGACCCCUUGCUGAACUGGAGGCUGAUGGACACAAAUACCAAAGGCAACAAGCGAUCCAGAACGAGGACGGAUUCCUACUCUGCUGGCCAGUCAGUCGAAAUUUUGGACGGUGUGGAACUUGGAGAGCCAGCCCAUAAGAAAACGGGGACCACAGUGCCAGAAUCUAUUCAUUCUUUCAUUGGAGAUGGUUUGGUGAAACCAGAGGCCCUAAAUAAGAAAGCUAUCCAGAUUAUUAACAGGGUUCGAGAUAAGCUCACUGGUCGGGACUUCUCUCAUGAUGACACUUUGGAUGUUCCAACGCAAGUUGAGCUGCUCAUCAAACAAGCGACAUCCCAUGAAAACCUCUGCCAGUGCUAUAUUGGCUGGUGCCCUUUCUGGUAACUGGAGGCCCAGAUGUACCCGUCACGUUUUUUCUGAGGCUUUUGUACUUUAGUAAAUGCUUCCACUAAACUGAAACCAUGGUGAGAAAGUUUGACUUUGUUAAAUAUUUUGAAAUGUAAAUGAAAAGAACUACUGUAUAUUAAAAGUUGGUUUGAACCAACUUUCUAGCUGCUGUUGAAGAAUAUAUUGUCAGAAACACA